This 72-nucleotide transfer RNA is filed under the name Parcubacteria group bacterium CG_4_9_14_0_2_um_filter_35_11. RNAcentral describes it as "tRNA-Arg". It matches the Rfam family "tRNA". Rfam says of the family: Transfer RNA (tRNA) molecules are approximately 80 nucleotides in length. Their secondary structure includes four short double-helical elements and three loops (D, anti-codon, and T loops). RNAcentral also lists the same sequence under 1 other name. The record is from RNAcentral.
GUCUCCAUAGCUUAAUGGAUAAAGCAUAACCCUCCGGAGGUUGGGAUGAAGGUUCGAAUCCUUCUGGAGACA